Molecule: ribosomal RNA, 255 nt
Filed under: uncultured bacterium
Lineage: Bacteria
Description: partial 16S ribosomal RNA
Rfam family: Bacterial small subunit ribosomal RNA
Source: RNAcentral
GCAAGUCGAACGAAGUCCAGCGGAGCUUGCUCUGCGAAUACUUAGUGGCGAACGGGUGCGUAACACGCGAGAAAUCUGCCCCGAACUUGGGAAUAACAGUUGGAAACGACUGCUAAUACCGAAUACCUUCACGACGUCGCAUGGCGAUGUGAAGAAAGCUUUAUGCGGUUUGCGAGGCUCUCGCGGCCUAUCAGCUUGUUGGUGAGGUAACGGCUCACCAAGGCAUCGACGGGUAGCUGGUCUGAGAGGAUGAUC